Molecule: ribosomal RNA, 466 nt
Filed under: Vreelandella stevensii
Lineage: Bacteria; Pseudomonadati; Pseudomonadota; Gammaproteobacteria; Oceanospirillales; Halomonadaceae
Description: partial 16S ribosomal RNA
Rfam family: Bacterial small subunit ribosomal RNA
Source: RNAcentral
CCUACGGGAGGCUGCAGUGGGGAAUAUUGGACAAUGGGGGGAACCCUGAUCCAGCCAUGCCGCGUGUGUGAAGAAGGCCCUCGGGUUGUAAAGCACUUUCAGUGAGGAAGAACGCCUGGUGGUUAAUACCCAUCAGGAAAGACAUCACUCACAGAAGAAGCACCGGCUAAACUCCGUGCCAGCAGCCGCGGUAAUACGGAGGGUGCGAGCGUUAAUCGGAAUUACUGGGCGUAAAGCGCGCGUAGGUGGCUUGAUAAGCCGGUUGUGAAAGCCCCGGGCUCAACCUGGGAACGGCAUCCGGAACUGUCAAGCUAGAGUGCAGGAGAGGAAGGUAGAAUUCCCGGUGUAGCGGUGAAAUGCGUAGAGAUCGGGAGGAAUACCAGUGGCGAAGGCGGCCUUCUGGACUGACACUGACACUGAGGUGCGAAAGCGUGGGUAGCAAACAGGAUUAGAUACCCUGGUAGUC